AACGAACGCUGGCGGCAUGCCUAACACAUGCAAGUCGAACGAGACGUUCGGGUCUGGUGGCGACCGGGUGCGUGAACGGUGGGAAACUGCGCUUAGGAUCGGAAUAACACCCCGGGAGGGGUGCUAGUAACGGGUAAUGAUUUCGGACCAAAGAUUUAUCGGCUUUGGAUGUGCCCGCGUUGGUUUAGUUAGUUGGUAGGGUGAAAGCCUGCCAAGUCGACGAGCCAUAGCUGGUCUGUGAGGAUGAUCAGCGACACUGGGACUGAGACACGGCCCAGACUCCUGCCGGAGGCAGCAGUGGGGAAUAUAUGACCGUGGGCGAGAGGCUGAUACAGCGAGGCCGCGUGAGUGAUGAAGGCGUUAUGGUUGUAUAGCUCUAUUAACCGAGAUGUUAAUGACAGUACCGGGAGAAUAAGCUCCGGCUAACUCCGUG
RNAcentral lists this ribosomal RNA (433 nucleotides) under uncultured bacterium. Its description in RNAcentral is "partial 16S ribosomal RNA". It matches the Rfam family "Bacterial small subunit ribosomal RNA", at positions 29 to 507 of the family's 1533-position model. The record is from RNAcentral.